Molecule: ribosomal RNA, 380 nt
Filed under: uncultured bacterium
Lineage: Bacteria
Description: bacterial SSU rRNA
Rfam family: Bacterial small subunit ribosomal RNA
Source: RNAcentral
AUUGAACGCUGGCGGCAGGCCUAACACAUGCAAGUCGAGCGGUAGAGAGAAGCUUGCUUCUCUUGAGAGCGGCAGACGGGUGAGUAAUGCCUAGGAAUCUGCCUAGUGGUGGGGGAUAACGUUCGGAAAGGGGUGCUAAUACCGCAUAAGCUCACGCGCUGUAGAGGCGUGCGAGAAAAGGCGAAAGUCGCUUUUGGAGGAGGCUGCGGCCCAUCAGGUAGUUGGUGCGGUAAGAGCGCACCAAGCCGACGACGGGUAGGGGACCUGAGAGGGUGAUCCCCCANACUGGGACUGAGACACGGCCCAGACUCCUACGGGAGGCAGCAGUGAGGAAUAUUGCCCAAUGGAGGAAACUCUGAGGCAGCGACGCCGCGUGGGUG